AUACGGAGGGGGUUAGCGUUGUUCGGAAUUACUGGGCGUAAAGCGCACGUAGGCGGAUUGGAAAGUUGGGGGUGAAAUCCCAGGGCUCAACCCUGGAACUGCCUCCAAAACUAACAGUCUAGAGUUCGAGAGAGGUGAGUGGAAUUCCAAGUGUAGAGGUGAAAUUCGUAGAUAUUUGGAAGAACACCAGUGGCGAAGGCGGCUCACUGGCUCGAUACUGACGCUGAGGUGCGAAAGCGUGGGGAGCAAACAGGAUUAGAAACCCCGGUAGUCC
Molecule: ribosomal RNA, 274 nt
Filed under: uncultured bacterium
Lineage: Bacteria
Description: partial 16S ribosomal RNA
Rfam family: Bacterial small subunit ribosomal RNA
Source: RNAcentral